GUACAAAGCAUACACAGAUUAUGCCCUAGACAUGGGACUAAUCAAAGAAUCCGACUAUGUUAGAAUCAACAAAAUUUAUCCCGUAUGUGAAUUUGCAAUCAAGCUUUGUGGUACUAAGGGGACAAUAUCUUGCUUGGCCUCAUAUCUGGUUUGCAAUACUAUAUUCAGCUCUGUUCUGAGGGUUGCUGGAAACAAAAAUUACUAUGAUAUCAG
This 213-nucleotide unclassified non-coding RNA is filed under the name Hevea brasiliensis (rubber tree). The record is from RNAcentral. Lineage: Eukaryota; Viridiplantae; Streptophyta; Magnoliopsida; Malpighiales; Euphorbiaceae.